RNAcentral lists this ribosomal RNA (497 nucleotides) under uncultured bacterium. Its description in RNAcentral is "partial 16S ribosomal RNA". It matches the Rfam family "Bacterial small subunit ribosomal RNA", at positions 28 to 507 of the family's 1533-position model. The record is from RNAcentral.
GAUGAACGCUGGCGGCGUGCCUAAUACAUGCAAGUCGAGCGAACAGACGAGGAGCUUGCUCCUCUGACGUUAGCGGCGGACGGGUGAGUAACACGUGGAUAACCUACCUAUAAGACUGGGAUAACUUCGGGAAACCGGAGCUAAUACCGGAUAAUAUAUUGAACCGCAUGGUUCAAUAGUGAAAGACGGUUUUGCUGUCACUUAUAGAUGGAUCCGCGCCGCAUUAGCUAGUUGGUAAGGUAACGGCUUACCAAGGCAACGAUGCGUAGCCGACCUGAGAGGGUGAUCGGCCACACUGGAACUGAGACACGGUCCAGACUCCUACGGGAGGCAGCAGUAGGGAAUCUUCCGCAAUGGGCGAAAGCUUGACGGAGCAACGCCGCGUGAGUGAUGAAGGUCUUCGGAUCGUAAAACUCUGUUAUUAGGGAAGAACAAAUGUGUAAGUAACUAUGCACGUCUUGACGGUACCUAAUCAGAUAGCCACGGCUAACUACGUG